This is a small nucleolar RNA of Rana temporaria (common frog), 68 nucleotides long. RefSeq annotates it as small nucleolar RNA SNORD82. The record is from RefSeq and is a predicted model, not a curated record. The transcript has a single exon. Lineage: Eukaryota; Metazoa; Chordata; Amphibia; Anura; Ranidae.
GGCACAUAUGAUGAAUACUUUGGGACUUAAUACAGAAUAAGUCAUGUUGAGAUCCUCAGCUGAUGUGC